This 1357-nucleotide long non-coding RNA is filed under the name Heterocephalus glaber (naked mole-rat). RNAcentral's name for it is "lncRNA (ENSHGLG00100029761.2)". Lineage: Eukaryota; Metazoa; Chordata; Mammalia; Rodentia; Bathyergidae. The record is from RNAcentral.
CCUCCUCCACAGCUACCAGUGCCCUUCAGACCACUGUUUUCAUGGCAUCAAGUUCAGAAAAGUUCAGAGACUGCCUAAGAAGGUGCUCCGGGGAUAGAAGUAGAAAGGAGCAGAGAAGUCAUCUUGUUGUCGUGUUAUUUAUUCUACCGAGGGGGAAAAAUGCCACCCUGAGAAGCAAAGUGACUCCUGGGAGAGGCUGCUGGUCACUCCUGGUUCAGGACAAUGAGCUGCUUGCAAAAUCAUUCCCUUCGUUUUGCCCCACAAUGAAGCCUCACAAGCUCUCUAGAUCUGACUGGCUAUUCAAGGGAAGGACAGAUGGAACAGCGGAGGAGGCUGUCUUAACUUCUGAGGUCUGCUCUUCAGUGCCAUUUCUAACCUCUCAGACACUGACCUAAGCUAAGGACAAUAUUUGUGCUUUUCUAAGAAGGUGGUAAAAUAUUUGCACUUGGAAAUACAGAGCGAUAACACUUUAAUGUGGACUAACCUUAUCGGGAUUAGGUAAAUACAGCCAAAGCAAAACAAAAAGUAUUUUAGAAACUGGGACCAACGCAAACAAAUGUAUAGAAAACACUUUUGAAGGGCACCUAGUUCUAAUUAACAUUUGUAUUUAUGAAUGACCUUAGUUAUCGCCCCUAAAUAAAGUAUUUGUUGUACACUGCAGAGAGAGUCAGUGGCCCCACCCUUCCACAGGUCACAAAGUUUUGCAUUUCUGUCAAAGUAGCUGGACUGCGGAGCAGCUUUUAAUCAGAUAUAUGGACCACCACUGGAAAAUCAGACCCAGGUUCCUUUUCUAACCCUUAAUGCUGAGCUGGGUGACAUUCACACUCUGCCCCCAAUCCUGAUGUCAAAGACUAAGAUUUUUUUUUUUUUUUUUGGUUUGGUACCGGGCAUUGAACUCGGGACCUGUCACUUGCGAGGCAGGUGGCAGAACCACUGAGCUAAAUCCCCGGCCCUAAGAUAUUUUUAAAAAUGUGUUAAAAACACAUAACACGAAAUGUACGAUCAUAACCAUCUUGCAGAUUGCUAGAACUUCACCAUCGCUGCAUAACGGAAAGCCUACCCCUUAAGGGACAAGUGCCCAUCUGCUGGUCCCCCUUCCUGGACAGUCAUAGUCUCCUUUUUCUUUCAAUGAGUUUGGUUCCUUUAGAUACUGAAUGUGUGUGAAGUCAUGCAGUCUUUGUGUUUUUGUGGCUGGCUUAUUUCAUUUAGCCAAAGCCCCUAUGACAUGUGAUGUGCAAGUGAAUGGCUGAGGGCUGGGUCCUGGCUGACGUUCCCAGAAAUGGGUGCCAUACUAGAAAAAUCUACUUGUAAAAGGGGAAAAAUAGCACAUUGGAUUACAUGUGAUCAGGCAUCAUGG